Molecule: ribosomal RNA, 435 nt
Filed under: uncultured bacterium
Lineage: Bacteria
Description: partial 16S ribosomal RNA
Rfam family: Bacterial small subunit ribosomal RNA
Source: RNAcentral
GAUGAACGCUGGCGGUAUGCUUAACACAUGCAAGUCGAACGGACUCUUCGGAGUUAGUGGCGGACGGGUGAGUAACGCGUGAGAAUCUGGCUUUGGGUUCGGGACAACCACUGGAAACGGUUGCUAAUACCGGAUGUGCCGAGAGGUAAAAGAGAAAUUGCCUGAAGAUGAGCUCGCGUCUGAUUAGCUAGUUGGUGAGGUAAAGGCUCACCAAGGCAGCGAUCAGUAGCUGGUCUGAGAGGAUGACCAGCCACACUGGGACUGAGACACGGCCCAGACUCCUACGGGAGGCAGCAGUGGGGAAUUUUCCGCAAUGGGCGAAAGCCUGACGGAGCAAUACCGCGUGAGGGAAGAAGGCUCUUGGGUUGUAAACCUCUUUUCUUAGGGAAGAACAAAAUGACGGUACCUAAGGAAUCAGCAUCGGCUAACUCCGUG